This 810-nucleotide ribosomal RNA is filed under the name Amycolatopsis mediterranei. Its description in RNAcentral is "bacterial LSU rRNA". It matches the Rfam family "Bacterial large subunit ribosomal RNA", at positions 400 to 1209 of the family's 2925-position model. The record is from RNAcentral. Lineage: Bacteria; Bacillati; Actinomycetota; Actinomycetes; Pseudonocardiales; Pseudonocardiaceae.
UGGUGUUCCCGAGUAGCAGCGAGCUCGUGGAAUUUGCUGUGAAUCUGCCGGGACCACCCGGUAAGCCUAAAUACUUCCUGAAGACCGAUAGCGGACGAGUACCGUGAGGGAAAGAUGAAAAGUACCCCGGGAGGGGAGUGAAAGAGUACCUGAAACCGUGUGCCUACAAGCCGUCAGAGCCUACUUGUUGGGUGAUGGCGUGCCUUUUGAAGAAUGAGCCUGCGAGUUAGUGCUGCGUGGCGAGGUUAACCCGUGUGGGGUAGCCGUAGCGAAAGCGAGUCUGAAUAGGGCGAUCCAGUCGCGUGGUCUAGACCCGAAGCGGAGUGAUCUACCCAUGGCCAGGGUGAAGCGACGGUAAGACGUCGUGGAGGCCCGAACCCACUUAGGUUGAAAACUGAGGGGAUGAGCUGUGGGUAGGGGUGAAAGGCCAAUCAAACUCCGUGAUAGCUGGUUCUCCCCGAAAUGCAUUUAGGUGCAGCGUCGUAUGUUUCUCCGCGGGGGUAGAGCUACUGGAUGGUCUAGGGGCCUUACCGGGUUACCGAAAUCAACCAAACUCCGAAUACCGUGGUGUUAGAGUACGGCAGUGAGACGGCGGGGGAUAAGCUUCGUCGUCGAGAGGGAAACAGCCCAGAACACCAGCUAAGGCCCCUAAGUGUGUGCUCAGUGGGAAAGGAUGUGGGAUUGCCCAGACAACCAGGAGGUUGGCUUAGAAGCAGCCACCCUUGAAAGAGUGCGUAAUAGCUCACUGGUCAAGUGGUCCUGCGCCGACAAUGUAGCGGGGCUUAAGCACACCGCCGAAGCUGUGUCAUU